This 497-nucleotide ribosomal RNA is filed under the name uncultured bacterium. Its description in RNAcentral is "partial 16S ribosomal RNA". It matches the Rfam family "Bacterial small subunit ribosomal RNA", at positions 28 to 507 of the family's 1533-position model. The record is from RNAcentral.
GACGAACGCUGGCGGCGUGCCUAAUACAUGCAAGUUGAGCGCUGAAGGUUGGUACUUGUACCAACUGGAUGAGCAGCGCACGGGUGAGUAACGCGUGGGGAAUCUGCCUUUGAGCGGGGGACAACAUGUGGAAACGAAUGCUAAUACCGCAUAAAAACUUUAAACACAAGUUUUAAGUUUGAAAGAUGCAAUUGCAUCACUCAAAGAUGAUCCCGCGUUGUAUUAGCUAGUUGGUGAGGUAAAGGCUCACCAAGGCGAUGAUACAUAGCCGACAUGAGAGGGUGAGCGGCCACAUUGGGACGGAGACACGGCCCAAACUCAUACGGGAGGCAGCAGUAGGGAAUCUUCGGCAAUGGACGAAAGUCUGACCGAGCAACGCCGUGUGAGUGAAGAAGGUUGUCGGAUCGUAAAACUCUGUUGGUAGAGAAGAACGUUGGUGAGAGUGGAAAGCUCAGCAAGUGACGGUAACUACCCAGAAAGGGACGGCUAACUACGUG